Heterocephalus glaber (naked mole-rat) is the source of this 3122-nucleotide long non-coding RNA. Lineage: Eukaryota; Metazoa; Chordata; Mammalia; Rodentia; Bathyergidae. The record is from Ensembl.
GCAGGACAGUGGUGCUAAUUGAGUGAGAAAACAUAAUGCAGGGAGCUGUUGUCUGCAGCUGGGGCGGGGGUGACUAAGUGGCCCACCAUUGUUGGUGUCAGGCAGGCAGAUGUUGCGUUCUGUUGAUAACUGCACUGACAUCGCCGGAGCUUGUCACCGCAGCUUCUGCCCAGAGACUCUCGGCUCUGGCGGCAGAUGGCUCUGCUGAAUGGCCACGGAGGGUCCCAGCGGCCAGCCCGGCGUGUGGAAGAGAACUUGAACACUGGUCUCCACGGUGACCCUGGACAGACACCGCAGCAGAAGACAGGGGCUUCCGAGGCCCCUGCACAGCCACAGGACUGGUAACCAGGGAGCUACUGGGGGCAAGGCUUGAGGAAGACCCUCCCAUCGUGAGCAGCUUGGGUCUGGAUCCUGGAGUUCUGGGAAACAGGUAGAAAUCAACACCUGAGGAUCUGGUGGGCCAGGGACAGUGGUAGGUCCCUUCUUGUCAAACAAAUCUAUGGCUAACAGUAUUCAGGAGACACAUACUGAUGCCGAAGUAUGGGAAACUUGACAAUUUCUCAGUCUGGACCAGAAGUGGCCAUGCAGGCUGAAUCUGCCCAACAGGUCCAGACAUCUGGCAACUCUGGGAGCAGGAGCUGGGCUGCGUCACACUCUUACCAAUCCUAGGAAACCCCAGGGAACUCAGGAUGCCCCUGGAAUACACUCAGCCCUCAUGCUCCCACUUAUCUGAGGGGUGACCUUGAGCUCCCUGGGACAGGGAAGGGCUGGGCCCCCAGAAGAGGGCCAGUGGGUGGUCAAUUUCCAGGUUCCCUGGGUGUUCCAGGUCCUCUUGCUCCUUGUCACCAAGGCAGCAUCAUCUGUGUGAAUGUGACACACCAGGAUGGAUAUUUCAUCUCUCUCGUUCCCGCUGUCUCCCCGGCCCUGGCACACAGUACAGCAGGGGGCUCUCUUCCACUCAUAUAUGCAGCCAACCUCACCAACCUACAAGAUCUCUGUGGCCAUGUGAGUCUGUGGCUCUGCUCUUCCCCUCAAACAACCAUUUUACAAGGGAGAAGACUGAUAUCCCAGCUGUACCUUGCAGGGUGGAGACAGGUGGGAAGUGACCCAGGUCCAAGCCUCCACUGAGCCCCUCAGGCCAGCGAUCACCCCCUCCCCAGCCUCACCAUCCUUCAUGAAGUCCAGACUUUGGGCAUUACCCCAUCCCCCAGGAUAAAGCCAACUCAGGGCCUGACCUGCCCAGAAGGCUCGGGGGUCCAGCCAUGCUGGCAGAGGGCUGAAGAGAGUGGCAGGUGGAGGCUUUGGGGGAAGGGGAGAAGGCUAUGGAAAAGGCCUGGCCGAUCACUUUGAUGUUCAGACCAUGAAACUUCUCAAAUUAUAAGAGAGAAUCACUUUUGAGCCUUUAAGUGGCUCCGGAACAAACCAACUGUCCAAAGAUACAAUGAAAAACCGUCACCAGCUCUCAGUAACAAGGCAGGAAAAAUUGUUUAGUGCUGACAAUGAAUAUUAAAAGCCCCAUCUGUGAAAAACACCCUGGAAAUAUGUCUCAGGAGGAGCCAGGCGAGAGGUGCUGGAGAGGCUGGCCGCCCAGAGGCCCCCACCCAGGGCAGGGCAGGCAGUGGGAGAGGAGACAGGCAGCUGCCAGGAGCUGCAGGUGGCAUCCAUCCGAGAGCAGAGCCAACCCACCUGGGCUACAGGUAGGGAGGUCCUGGGCCCCUGCCCGCACGAGGCAGCCCUGAGAAGGGGAGGCCAGCCCCCCACUUACUGUGCCCUCUGCCAGGGAUGGCAGGAGACAGGAGCUUAUCCCCACCCUCCCACCACAGCCGGGCCCUGCCUGAGAAGAGGUGACCACGCUAGACCCUGCCAGCCCCAGGAGACCCUGAACCAUCCAGCCCCAGCUCUGCCACUUCCUCUUCAGGAGCCUUUGGCCACCUCACCCCUCUGUGGACCUUGGUUUCCUGGACAGGGCUGGGUGGGGCUGAAAGUUCGGGGGAUGCUGCCCCCCAUAGAAAGCAGAGGGGACCGCGUGAAAUGCCCAGGCCUGGACCCCAGGGACAUAGGCCCCUGCUAGGGUCGGGGCAGGAAGAAGGAGGGGGCCAUAAAGGAGAAGCCCCCGGAUACCUUCUGGGCCCAGUAUCCAUAUCCUGGGGCCCUCCUGCCCUGUACCUUGCACGCACCCCUGGCUCCUCCAUGGCUGCCCACCCCGACCACAUCAUCUCUCCCUGCAGCCGUGGCCCCCCCCCCAGCUUGGUGCCUGGUUGGGGUUGGGGGCAGCAGAAGGGGUCUGGCUGCUGCUCAGAACCACCACAGAGGAAGGAGGCCAUAGGUCCCCACGUCCAGGGUGCUAAAAGCUAGUGACACUUGGGCUCCGUCGCACACAGGCCUGCUAAUGACACCUGGGCCACAGGUCUUGAAUGGACACUUGGGAAAGGUGGGCCAGCCGCAUCCCCUGCUCUUAUGCAGGGCCACCCACUGAGGAGGUCCCUCCCAGGCCCAGCUGCUUCUUUGGGCUCUCUGAGGGGUGGUGGAGGGGAGGAGUCCCUGCUCUGCCCGAGUCUGCCUUCCCAGCCCUGGGCAGUGGGGAUCUACAAAGCUGUUUGCAUGAGUGGCAUUUCUCAGCAGCAAUCCCAGGUGGUCCCACAGACCACCCUAUCCCCAGGAGAACCAAGAGCCAGAGAAGGGGCCAGGAAGCUGCAGCAAAGAGGCUGCUGCUCAGGUCACCUGGCAGGGAUGCAGGGGAUUCCAGGCUGAGACCCAGGCUCCUCUCGCUUCUGGACAAGAGGCCCAGAAGCACAGUGCCCUGCCCAGGACCAGAGCCCUCCCCAGCUCUGCAGCCCACUCCCCCCUCUGAGGACCCAGAAGAAGAGGGGCAGGCACCGAGGUUCUGGAGCUCCAGUGCAGGCCAAGCCACCACCUCAUGUUGUCCUCCAGCUGCCUUCCUUGUAAUUAAGAGCAAACUUUGUAGCAAUGUCUCCUUUAGCUGUUGUCUUACCCCGCCUCCCAAAUGAUAAAUUGUUAAUGAGCACCUGUUACAAUGCUAAUGAAAGUGAGAUCCGUAUGUAAAUAAAGAAAAUUUAAUAACUUAACAAGGUGGAUUAAAAUGCCCAACCUCCUCAGCAGCU